Molecule: ribosomal RNA, 465 nt
Filed under: Vreelandella stevensii
Lineage: Bacteria; Pseudomonadati; Pseudomonadota; Gammaproteobacteria; Oceanospirillales; Halomonadaceae
Description: partial 16S ribosomal RNA
Rfam family: Bacterial small subunit ribosomal RNA
Source: RNAcentral
CCUACGGGGUGCAGCAGUGGGGAAUAUUGGACAAUGGGCGAAAGCCUGAUCCAGCCAUGCCGCGUGUGUGAAGAAGGCCUUCGGGUUGUAAAGCACUUUCAGUGGGGAAGAAAGCCUUGGGGCUAAUACCCUCGAGGAAGGACAUCACCCACAGAAGAAGCACCGGCUAACUCCGUGCCAGCAGCCGCGGUAAUACGGAGGGUGCGAGCGUUAAUCGGAAUUACUGGGCGUAAAGCGCGCGUAGGCGGUCUGAUAAGCCGGUUGUGAAAGCCCCGGGCUCAACCUGGGAACGGCAUCCGGAACGGUCAGGCUAGAGUGCAGGAGAGGAAGGUAGAAUUCCCGGUGUAGCGGUGAAAUGCGUAGAGAUCGGGAGGAAUACCAGUGGCGAAGGCGGCCUUCUGGACUGACACUGACGCUGAGGUGCGAAAGCGUGGGUAGCAAACAGGAUUAGAUACCCCUGUAGUC